Serinus canaria (Common canary) is the source of this 817-nucleotide long non-coding RNA. RefSeq lists it as uncharacterized. The transcript has 3 exons. Lineage: Eukaryota; Metazoa; Chordata; Aves; Passeriformes; Fringillidae. The record is from RefSeq and is a predicted model, not a curated record.
AUAAGUUAUUCAUGCUUCUGUCUUUUGUGAUCUCUCUCUAAAGACUAUGAAGCUGUUCUUGGUGCUCUACAGUUUUGCCCAAAACCAAGAAGCUUGCAGAGAACUCUCUUCUUCCGUCUGGCUGAGCUUUCACCUCAGCAGAUGAUUUGGACUGCAGUCUGUGUUCUGCAGAGUGAUGUGUGGUUGAAAGCUUUGCCACUCCACACAGCUACCCAGUGAUGGUCAACAACCAGUACUGUGAUUGAAUGCACUGCUUGAAUUUGAGCCUUUGUCCAGCAGAGUCCUAAAGCUUCAAGGAUGGAGCCUGCAGUGUCCUUGGGGAAUUUGCUCCAGUGUUUCUGAAGGAACAAGAUGGUUUUACAUUUCAGCUUGAACCUUCCAGACUUCAAUUUUUGGCUAUGGCAGAUCAUUCUUAUUGCUCUCAAUUUCUCUUGCCUGUAAAAAAUUCUUAAAACCUAACACUGAUGAGGGACAAAUGAGAAGCUUAGAUUCUGAUACCUGUACAAACUAGAUUUUUGUGAACUGGAUACUCCAAUAAUAAAUGUUUUAAUAUCUAGACCCAUAUUCAUUCUGAGAUAUUUUUUCCUUUCUAAUUCUAUUUCAUGUAAAAUGAUUACAUAAUAAUUUAAUAUGUUGACAUUUUUUCUUCUUAUCUGAGCCUGGCAGUUUUCAAUGAGUUCUGGUUCAUAUAUUAAUGAAUAAAUGACUUGAAAACAAACAAAAAAAAAUUGUUAGUAUGAAAUUAGGAAUUACUCCAUGUUUUUUUCAUUUCUUACCUUACUUGUCAGCACAUGCCACUUAGCAGAGCUUUGAGAAU